Molecule: unclassified non-coding RNA, 470 nt
Filed under: Hevea brasiliensis (rubber tree)
Lineage: Eukaryota; Viridiplantae; Streptophyta; Magnoliopsida; Malpighiales; Euphorbiaceae
Source: RNAcentral
GUGUCAAGUAUCAAGAUAUCCUCUGUCAACAGAUCAUCUUGAGAGAAGUUGUAAAUUUCCUCUACCUGGAACUUUCCUCUACUGAAUGAAAAUGCAUACAAGUGGGGAUCCCUGACAAUAUCCUGAGAUGCUUUUUUACUAUUGUAACUUUGUUUCCCUCCAAGUGCAAACCAGAAGGUUGAACUCUCUGUUCCUUCCUUUGCAUGUUUAAAAGUUACACCCGGCUUUAGAAACUCUGCAACUUUUGCAGCUAACUGUUGCUGCUCAAAUGUACUUUGGUUUCCAUGCCAUGAGAAAACAGAAGAGCCGGAUUGCAGGACAAAACACUCAGUAGAGUUCAAUGAGGUCGCAACAGCUUCAACUUGCACUGCUUUAUUGUUGUGAAUGGAUGUUUGUGAUAUCCUAAUAAGGGCAACUGAAUCUUCCGUGUAAGUUUCAUCAGCCAAACCUUUAUCUGCUAUGACUUUCUU